RNAcentral lists this ribosomal RNA (301 nucleotides) under uncultured bacterium. RNAcentral's name for it is "partial 16S ribosomal RNA". It matches the Rfam family "Bacterial small subunit ribosomal RNA", at positions 509 to 807 of the family's 1533-position model. The record is from RNAcentral.
CAGUAGCCGCGGGAAUACGGAGGGUGCAAGCGUUAAUCGGAAUUACUGGGCGUAAAGCGCACGCAGGCGGUUUGUUAAGUCAGAUGUGAAAUCCCCGAGCUUAACUUGGGAACUGCGCUUGUGACUGCACAGCUAGAGUAUGGCAGAGGGGGGUGGAAUUCCACGUGUAGCAGUGAAAUGCGUAGAGAUGUGGAGGAACACCAGUGGCGAAGGCGACUCUCUGGUCUGUAACUGACGCUGAGGAGCGAAAGCGUGGGGAGCGAACAGGAUUAGAUACCCCUGUAGUCCCUGUCUCUUAUAC